GACGAACGCUGGCGGCGUGCUUAACACAUGCAAGUCGAACGGAAAGGCCUUUUCGGAGGUACUCGAGUGGCGAACGGGUGAGUAACACGUGGGUGAUCUGCCCUGCACUCUGGGAUAAGCCUGGGAAACUGGGUCUAAUACCGGAUAGGACCGCACUUUAGUGUGUGUGGUGGAAAGUUUUUUCGGUGUAGGAUGAGCCCGCGGCCUAUCAGCUUGUUGGUGGGGUAAUGGCCUACCAAGGCGGCGACGGGUAGCCGGACUGAGAGGUUGGUCGGCGACAUUGGGACUGAGAUACGGCCCAGACGCCUACGGGAGGCAGCAGUGGGGAAUAUUGCACAAUGGGCGCAAGCCGGAUGCAGCGACGCCGCGUGGGGGAUGACGGCCUUCGGGUUGUAAACUCCUUUCGCCAGGGACGAAGCGUUUUGUGACGGUACCUGGAGAAGAAGCACCGGCUAACUACGUG
This 463-nucleotide ribosomal RNA is filed under the name uncultured bacterium. Its description in RNAcentral is "partial 16S ribosomal RNA". It matches the Rfam family "Bacterial small subunit ribosomal RNA", at positions 28 to 507 of the family's 1533-position model. The record is from RNAcentral.